UGUCAGCCGCCGCGGUAAUACGUAGGGAGAAAGCGUUGUCCGGAUGUACUGGGCGUAAAGGGCGCGUAGGCGGCCUGUUAAGUAUGAAGUGAAAUCUCUGGGCUCAACCCGGAAACUGCUUUGUAAACUGGCAGGCUAGAGGAAGGUAGAGGUGAAUGGAAUUCCCGGUGUAGCGGUGACAUGCAUUGAUAUCGGGAGGAACACCCAUGGCGAAGGCAGUUCACUGGGCCUUACCUGACGCUGAUGCGCGCAAGCGUGGGGCGCAAACAGGAUUAGAUA
RNAcentral lists this ribosomal RNA (279 nucleotides) under uncultured bacterium. RNAcentral's name for it is "partial 16S ribosomal RNA". It matches the Rfam family "Bacterial small subunit ribosomal RNA", at positions 506 to 784 of the family's 1533-position model. The record is from RNAcentral.